AGCGAACGCUGGCGGCAUGCCUAACACAUGCAAGUCGAACGAUCCCUUCGGGGCUAGUGGCGCACGGGUGCGUAACGCGUGGGAACCUGCCCUUAGGUUCGGAAUAACUCAGAGAAAUUUGAGCUAAUACCGGAUAAUGUCUUCGGACCAAAGAUUUAUCGCCUUUGGAUGGGCCCGCGUUGGAUUAGCUAGUUGGUGGGGUAAAGGCCUACCAAGGCGACGAUCCAUAGCUGGUCUGAGAGGAUGAUCAGCCACACUGGGACUGAGACACGGCCCAGACUCCUACGGGAGGCAGCAGUGGGGAAUAUUGGACAAUGGGCGAAAGCCUGAUCCAGCAAUGCCGCGUGAGUGAUGAAGGCCUGAGGGUUGUAAAGCUCUUUUACCCGGGAUGAUAAUGACAGUACCGGGAGAAUAAGCCCCGGCUAACUCCG
RNAcentral lists this ribosomal RNA (431 nucleotides) under uncultured bacterium. Its description in RNAcentral is "partial 16S ribosomal RNA". It matches the Rfam family "Bacterial small subunit ribosomal RNA", at positions 29 to 505 of the family's 1533-position model. The record is from RNAcentral.